RNAcentral lists this ribosomal RNA (440 nucleotides) under uncultured bacterium. Its description in RNAcentral is "partial 16S ribosomal RNA". It matches the Rfam family "Bacterial small subunit ribosomal RNA", at positions 338 to 795 of the family's 1533-position model. The record is from RNAcentral.
CCUACGGGAGGCAGCAGUGGGGAAUAUUGCACAAUGGGGGAAACCCUGAUGCAGCGACGCCGCGUGAGUGAAGAAGUAAUUCGUUAUGUAAAGCUCUAUCAGCAGGGAAGAAAAUGACGGUACUUGAGUAAGAAGCCCCGGCUAACUACGUGCCAGCAGCCGCGGUAAUACGUAGGGGGCAAGCGUUAUCCGGAUUUACUGGGUGUAAAGGGAGCGGAGACGGCAGUGCAAGUCUGGAGGGAAAGGCUGGGGCUCAAACCCCGGACGGCUCUGGAAACUGUACGGCUGGAGGGCAGGAGAGGUAAGUGGAAUUCCUAGUGUAGCGGUGAAAUGCGUAGAUAGUAGGAGGAACACCAGUGGCGAAGGCGGCUUACUGGACUGUAACUGACGUUGAGGCUCGAAAGCGUGGGGAGCAAACAGGAUUAGAUACCCGUGUAGUC